UAAACCCUGCCAUGUGCGUGAUGCACCACGCGAUUUGAGCCAACAGUUGUACCUUUUGGAGGCCAGAUUCGUGGUGGGGAUGCGGGGCCUGCUCUCGGGCGAGGCAGAGCCACCAGAGAGGCUUCCACCUGCGCAAGCAGACUCAAAGUUGCUGGUUUGUCACACGGCAUGGCGGGGUUAUC
RNAcentral lists this non-coding RNA (182 nucleotides) under Anaerolineae bacterium. RNAcentral describes it as "6S RNA". It matches the Rfam family "6S / SsrS RNA". Rfam says of the family: E. coli 6S RNA was the first non coding RNA to be sequenced, but its function was unknown until recently. It consists of 184 nucleotides that fold into an extended hairpin structure with a large single-stranded internal bulge. The record is from RNAcentral. Lineage: Bacteria; Bacillati; Chloroflexota; Anaerolineae.